GGGCCCGCACAAGCGGUGGAGUAUGUUGCUUAAUUCGAGGCAACGCGAAGAACCUUACCUGGGUUUGACAUGUACCGAAAAGCCAUAGAGAUAUGGUGUCCUUCGGGGCGGUACACAGGUGGUGCAUGGCUGUCGUCAGCUCGUGCUGUGAAGUGUCGGGUUAAGUCCCAUAACGAGCGCAACCCCCAUUUCUAGUCGCCAGCGGUUCGGCCGGGGACUCUAGAGAAACUGCCAGCGUAAGCUGUGAGGAAGGUGGGGAUGACGUCAAAUCAUCACGGCCCUUACAUCCUGGGCCACACACGUGCUACAAUGGUAGGGACAACAGGUUGCCAACCCGCGAGGGUGAGCCAAUCCCAAAACCCUAUCUCAGUUCGGAUCGGAGUCUGCAACUCGACUCCGUGAAGUUGGAAUCGCUAGUAAUCGCGGAUC
Molecule: ribosomal RNA, 429 nt
Filed under: uncultured bacterium
Lineage: Bacteria
Description: bacterial SSU rRNA
Rfam family: Bacterial small subunit ribosomal RNA
Source: RNAcentral